CGAGGGUGGAGAGAGGAAUUUUGUUGUCACAGAAUAAAAGGAGGUUAUCCAUAAUUGACUUGAAGCAGCAAACAGUGAAACACUGAGCUCUUCAGCUCCACCUUUCUUGCUCCAAGAAUUGGAAAACCAAAAGGUUUUGAUGUUUUGUGUGAACCCAAAUUAGAAACUAAGAUGAACAUCACCAAAGGAGGUCUGGUGAAGUUUUCAGCAAAUUCUAACUCAUUCUGUAUGGAGCUUUCAAAGAAACUUUCUGAACAGCUGGGGUUGGUGAUAGGCAAAGUGCAGGUUUACCAGGAAACUAGCCAAGAAACAAGAGUACAGAUUCAGGAGUUGUGAGGGGGAAAGAUGUUUUCAUCAUCCAGACUGUCUCAAACAGUAGGAGAUGAGGAAAAGGCUCCAUCAUCUCUAAAUUAUUGGCUUCCAACAUGCACAAAGCUGGUGUAACCCGCCUCAUUAC
RNAcentral lists this long non-coding RNA (457 nucleotides) under Marmota monax (woodchuck). The record is from RNAcentral. Lineage: Eukaryota; Metazoa; Chordata; Mammalia; Rodentia; Sciuridae.